AAGGAGACGAAGGAGCUGAUAGAACAGCUUCUAAAUGACUUCAUGGAGGCAAUGGACACAAUGGGAAUCAUGCUCUUUGACAAGGACAGGAUGGAAGAGAUCUGGCGGACACAGCAGCGCCACAACGACUGCAUCCAGGACCCACCAGGAACAAGUGCAAGUGACCUUCAUUUUCAGGAUGAUGUGGAGGCAGAAAGGAUAUCUGCUAUGGUGGCCAACUGCAGCAGUGCGCCAUCAUCCUGAGCCAGCUAUUUAU
This is a long non-coding RNA of Carassius auratus (goldfish), 256 nucleotides long. RefSeq lists it as uncharacterized. Lineage: Eukaryota; Metazoa; Chordata; Actinopteri; Cypriniformes; Cyprinidae. The transcript is spliced from 3 exons. The record is from RefSeq and is a predicted model, not a curated record.